Molecule: ribosomal RNA, 463 nt
Filed under: uncultured bacterium
Lineage: Bacteria
Description: partial 16S ribosomal RNA
Rfam family: Bacterial small subunit ribosomal RNA
Source: RNAcentral
GAUGAACGCUGACAGAAUGCUUAACGCAUGCAAGUCUUUGGCGAAGCUGUGCUUGCACAGCCUAGCCAAGGCGGACGGGUGAGUAACGCGUAAGGAACUUGCCCUGCAGUCAGGGAUAACAGACGGAAACGACUGAUAAGACCUGGUAAAGUCAGGCGGACUCAUGUCCAGCCUGAUGAAAAGAGAUGCUGCAGGAGAGCCUUGCGUCCUAUUAGCUUGUUGGUGGGGUAACGGCCCACCAAGGCGAUGAUAGGUAGCCGGCCUGAGAGGGUGGACGGCCACAAGGGGACAGAGAUACGGCCCUUACUCCUACGGGAGGCAGCAGUGGGGAAUAUUGGACAAUGGGGGCAACCCUGAUCCAGCAAUUCUGUGUGCACGAUGAAGGUUUUCGGAGUGUAAAGUGCUUUCAGCAGGGAAGAAAAAAAUGACGGUACCUGCAGAAGAAGCGACGGCUAAAUACGUG